GAUGAACGCUGGCGGCGUGCCUAAUACAUGCAAGUCGAGCGAACAGACGAGGAGCUUGCUCCUCUGACGUUAGCGGCGGACAGGUGAGUAACACGUGGAUAACCUACCUAUAAGACUGGGAUAACUUCGGGAAACCGGAGCUAAUACCGGAUAAUAUAUUGAACCGCAUGGUUCAAUAGUGAAAGACGGUUUUGCUGUCACUUAUAGAUGGAUCCGCGCCGCAUUAGCUAGUUGGUAAGGUAACGGCUUACCAAGGCAACGAUGCAUAGCCGACCUGAGAGGGUGAUCGGCCACACUGGAACUGAGACACGGUCCAGACUCCUACGGGAGGCAGCAGUAGGGAAUCUUCCGCAAUGGGCGAAAGCCUGACGGAGCAACGCCGCGUGAGUGAUGAAGGUCUUCGGAUCGUAAAACUCUGUUAUUAGGGAAGAACAAAUGUGUAAGUAACUAUGCACGUCUUGACGGUACCUAAUCAGAAAGCCACGGCUAACUACGUG
RNAcentral lists this ribosomal RNA (497 nucleotides) under uncultured bacterium. RNAcentral's name for it is "partial 16S ribosomal RNA". It matches the Rfam family "Bacterial small subunit ribosomal RNA", at positions 28 to 507 of the family's 1533-position model. The record is from RNAcentral.